Molecule: ribosomal RNA, 263 nt
Filed under: uncultured bacterium
Lineage: Bacteria
Description: partial 16S ribosomal RNA
Rfam family: Bacterial small subunit ribosomal RNA
Source: RNAcentral
GUCCACGCCCUAAACGAUGUCAAUUAGCUGUUGGGGUUAGAAUCCUUGGUAGCGUAGCUAACGCGUGAAAUUGACCGCCUGGGGAGUACGGCCGCAAGGUUAAAACUCAAAGGAAUUGACGGGGCCCGCACAAGCGGUGGAUGAUGUGGAUUAAUUCGAUGCAACGCGAAAAACCUUACCUGCUCUUGACAUGUACGGAACCCUGGAGAGAUUCAGGGGUGCCCCGAAAGGGAGCCGUAACACAGGUGCUGCAUGGCUGUCGU